GCGUGAGUGUGGGUUAAGUCCCGCAACGAGCGCAACCCUCGACCUUAGUUGCCAGCAUUCAGUUGGGCACUCUAAGGUGACUGCCGGCUAAAAAGUCGGAGGAAGGUGGGGAUGACGUCAAAUCAUCAUGCCCCUUAUGACCUGGGCUACACACGUGCUACAAUGGGCGGUACAAAGGGUCGCGAACCCGCGAGGGGGAGCCAAUCCCAAAAAGCCGCUCUCAGUUCGGAUUGCAGGCUGCAACUCGCCUGCAUGAAGCCGGAAUCGCUAGUAAUCGCGGAUCAGCAUGCCGCGGUGAAUACGUUCCCGGGCCUU
RNAcentral lists this ribosomal RNA (315 nucleotides) under uncultured Anoxybacillus sp. Its description in RNAcentral is "bacterial SSU rRNA". It matches the Rfam family "Bacterial small subunit ribosomal RNA", at positions 1065 to 1382 of the family's 1533-position model. The record is from RNAcentral. Lineage: Bacteria; Bacillati; Bacillota; Bacilli; Caryophanales; Anoxybacillaceae.